Molecule: long non-coding RNA, 530 nt
Organism: Junco hyemalis (dark-eyed junco)
Lineage: Eukaryota; Metazoa; Chordata; Aves; Passeriformes; Passerellidae
Source: Ensembl
CCGGGAGCGGGGCUGCGGGGCUGCCGGCUGCUGCUCAGCGCCCGCCCCCGCCGGUGCCGCUGCCGGUGCGGAUCUCGGGCAGGGCGGCAGCGAGGAGCCCGCUCGCUAGGCAGGGCGAGCAGCGCCCGAGGAUGCUCCCCUGGCCCGGGGCUGGCAGGGGAGAUGCCCUCCCCGGAGCAGCACCAUUUACGUAAGAUCAGCGCUCACCCCGCUUCAGAAGCGUCUCCCUGAAUUUGAGGGAGGGUUGGGAAGGGGAAAAAAACAAAAAAAGAAAAAAAAAAAACAAAAAAAGCUCCACCACCGCCAAACUGAAAGAAGCCAGCGAGAAGGAGGAGGAAAGCCGAUCCGCAGGAACAUACUACUCAACACCAGGCACUGAAUGGAAGAGAUACCACUGUUUGUUAGACUGGUGGCUUGCACAGGAAAAGAAGGAAUGAAGGUGGAGGAAAAUAAAAAACUGAGAAAAGGAAAAUUGAGAAGAAAGAAAAAGAUAAUGCAUGAGUCAAUGUUAGAGUGCAAGUCAAAUUAGG